AUGCAAGUCGAACGAAACCUUCGGGUUUAGUGGCGCACGGGUGCGUAACGCGUGGGAAUCUGCCCUUGGGUUCGGAAUAACACUUAGAAAUGAGUGCUAAUACCGGAUGAUGACGAAAGCCCAAAGAUUUAUCGCCGAAGGAUGAGCCCGCGUAGGAUUAGGUAGUUGGUGAGGUAAAGGCUCACCAAGCCAACGAUCCUUAGCUGGUCUGAGAGGAUGAUCAGCCACACUGGGACUGAGACACGGCCCAGACUCCUACGGGAGGCAGCAGUGGGGAAUAUUGGACAAUGGGCGAAAGCCUGAUCCAGCAAUGCCGCGUGAGUGAUGAAGGCCUUUGGGUUGUAAAGCUCUUUUACCCGGGAUGAUAAUGACAGUACCGGGAGAAUAAGCCCCGGCUAACUCCGUGCCAGCAGCCGCGGUAAU
Molecule: ribosomal RNA, 423 nt
Filed under: uncultured Sphingomonas sp.
Lineage: Bacteria; Pseudomonadati; Pseudomonadota; Alphaproteobacteria; Sphingomonadales; Sphingomonadaceae
Description: bacterial SSU rRNA
Rfam family: Bacterial small subunit ribosomal RNA
Source: RNAcentral